AAGUUACUCACAAAAACAAAAGCAACAAGAAGAAAAAAUGUUUCGCAAUGAGAAGUAGCCAAGUAGGCUAUGCUCAUAUUUUACUGCUAUCUGAUGAGUGACGAGAACUCUCCUACGAACAGGGGAAAGCACGCAGUGAAGCAAGCGAAAAAAUGUGCAAGUCAUCGACUUGUCGAAAGAAAGUCUUUAAUGUACUUAUCGAGCAGACUGACUUAUUACUUACGUAGCAGAGGAGCAGCCGUAGCUGCGCACAUCCGUGAUGUUCGACAAUAAAUAUCCAGUAUACCAGUAUUUGCACUAUAAAUCAUUAAUGCCGUCGAUUGUCUGUACUCACAGAUGACGAAUGUGGAGAUUUAUACGAGUGUAAGCAGUUUGUUAGUGCCUAUAAUUACAGUAAUAAAAGAGAGCUAGAAACUUUUUACAGUGCAUCUUUACAUACUUUAUUUAUAAUUUGUGUUAUGCGCCUUGACGUUGUCCAGCCAUGGCAAGGCCUACAGAUUUAUGCCGCCGUUGACAGUUUUUUAAAUGCAGUUCAAGAUGACGCUAAAUGGAGUAAAUAAAUGCCGUGCCACCAUUGAAUUACUGGAUGACAAGGACGAAAGCCAAAGCCAAAGCUUUGUUAUCG
Anastrepha ludens (Mexican fruit fly) is the source of this 625-nucleotide long non-coding RNA. RefSeq lists it as uncharacterized. NCBI's taxonomy places the organism in Eukaryota, Metazoa, Arthropoda, Insecta, Diptera, Tephritidae. The transcript is spliced from 3 exons. The record is from RefSeq and is a predicted model, not a curated record.